RNAcentral lists this unclassified non-coding RNA (281 nucleotides) under Hevea brasiliensis (rubber tree). The record is from RNAcentral. Lineage: Eukaryota; Viridiplantae; Streptophyta; Magnoliopsida; Malpighiales; Euphorbiaceae.
CUCAAGACAUCGAUUCCGCAAUUGGCUCUACAUUUUCAUACUCGAGAAAGAAAGGGCUUGUUUCCUUUAUAUUACAGUCUAUUGUAGAACACUAACCAAUUUCUAAUACAUAAAAAUGCAGAGCCUAAGAGGGCGCAAUUGANNNNNUCCAGUACAACCCUUUGUUGGUCCCAAGGGACUGAGGAGGCUAGGUUAGCUGAAAGAUAUUUAUCAGCAAAGGGGACAACGGGUCGAAGAAAUUGAUCAUAUACCAAUAAGUGCAACAAUUGGCAGACCCCCUA